GACAGAGGGUGCAAACGUUGCUCGGAAUCACUGGGCGUAAAGGGCGUGUAGGCGGGAAUGUAAGUCGGGCGUGAAAUCCCUAGGCUCAACCUAGGAACUGCACUCGAAACUGCGUUUCUUGAGUAUCGGAGAGGAAAGCGGAAUACCUGGUGUAGAGGUGAAAUUCGUAGAUAUCGAGAGGAACACCGGUGGCGAAGGCGGCCUUCUGGACAGUGACUGACGCUGAGACGCGAAAGCGUGGGGAGCAAACAGG
RNAcentral lists this ribosomal RNA (253 nucleotides) under uncultured bacterium. RNAcentral's name for it is "partial 16S ribosomal RNA". It matches the Rfam family "Bacterial small subunit ribosomal RNA", at positions 524 to 776 of the family's 1533-position model. The record is from RNAcentral.